GUCUCUUUUGUAGCACCAAGAAUGCAAGAAUGGAGUCAUGAACAUAAUUCAAGUGUGGAUCAACACCAACAUGAAUCAGCCUGGACAGCCAGUGACAAUGGAAGCUGGACAGAUACCCAAAGACAAAAUUAUGACUUCAAUUCAAAUGGGCAAAAUUGUACAUCAAAUAACAGGGCAAUAAUGAAAUCACAACCUGGGUCUACUAGCAUGGAUGCUGAAAGCCAGAUUGCAGAGACCCUUAAACAUGCACCAGGUCUGGUUAGGAGAAAG
Molecule: long non-coding RNA, 270 nt
Organism: Sinocyclocheilus rhinocerous
Lineage: Eukaryota; Metazoa; Chordata; Actinopteri; Cypriniformes; Cyprinidae
Exons: 4
Source: RefSeq, a predicted model, not a curated record